RNAcentral lists this ribosomal RNA (253 nucleotides) under uncultured bacterium. RNAcentral describes it as "partial 16S ribosomal RNA". It matches the Rfam family "Bacterial small subunit ribosomal RNA", at positions 524 to 776 of the family's 1533-position model. The record is from RNAcentral.
UACGGAGGGUGCAAGCGUUGUCCGGAUUUAUUGGGUUUAAAGGGUGCGUAGGCGGUCUUUUAAGUCAGUGGUGAAAUCCUCCAGCUCAACUGGAGAACUGCCAUUGAUACUGGAAGACUUGAGUAUAGUUGAGGUAGGCGGAAUUGACGGUGUAGCGGUGAAAUGCAUAGAUAUCGUCAAGAACCCCGAUUGCGAAGGCAGCUUACUAAACUAUAACUGACGCUGAGGCACGAAAGUGCGGGGAUCAAACAGG